UGAGUAUGAGAUUAGGCACAAUGAACUUCCUUGGACAUCCCCUAAACCAUGUGCCUACAUGGGUUGCUUACUAGUUCUACCUUUGGCAAGUAGAACAACCUCCACGGAGUAGGAUAGACUCCGGAUUCCAUGCCUAGCUAGUAUGGUCUAUGUCGGUUAUGCCUAUUCCCAUCAUGUGGGAUGUGCACUCUAGUUAUUGGAUAGGUUCUACAACGUGUAGGUAGUAGUAUGGGAUGCUAUCUACACAUGGCACGAGUAGGCUUUGAAGAUACUAAAGUGAGUUCCCUAAGUCUAACGACUAUUAUGUGAAAGUCCCCUUAUGUGCUUGAAUGUCUCCAAAAUGGUUUCUUAAAGAAUGUUGGCCUAUUGAUGUUAUGUUGUAAAGGAAAUGUCCUUAUCUAAGGUAAUCUUGGGGAACACUUAAGUGUGCUUGAAGAGAUUGUAUGGGCGGUCACUUCAUGUUUCACUUAAGUGUGGCUUUGGGUAACUUGAGAUAGAGGUCAAGAAAUGAUGAAAAGGUUUACUUGUAUUUUUUUUUAUGAAGUUUUACCAAAUGGCAUAAAAGCGUGUUUCUCCAAUGAACGUCCUUUUUAGCAUGUUUUUGCAUGGCUUCCAUACUUUGUACUUAAUUGUGCUAACCCCUUUCUUUUCUUUUUUAACUAAAGUGUAGGGAUUUGGAGAUGAUGAUAUGUCAUGGCUAUUUGAUAGGUUUCUAAGUGUUGAAGAUGAAGACUUGGUGAGUCCUCAUAGAUUCGAGGACAAUACCCAAUAUGUUCUUUUAUGUCUUUUUAAGUAUUGUUUAAGUUGUGUAUGGGAUUGGUCCCGAAUUUGUACUCUAAAGUAUUAGAUGGUUAUGAGACAUCAUGUAUAAAAGUCUAGAAAGUCUUCCGCUUGCUAUUUAUUUUAUGCAAUGUUUUCUUGGUAAAGAAAGUUUUAAAUUCCUCAUGGUUUUAGUGUCUAUGCGAUGAACGAAUGCUAAGAUGCUUGUAUUAGACCUCUUCGAGGUCGAGUACGCCGGGUACGACUAGGGGGGUGCUCCCGGGUCGUGACAAACUUGGUAUCAGGGCAUAAGUUUCUAGGAUGGUCUUAGGUGGUCUCAAAACCACAUCUAGUAGAGUGUUGUUUAUAAUGUGAAGCGCGCCACAUUAUGAAUAGGAGGCUAUUGGGUGUUAAGAAAGUUUCACUUAUUCAUUCUUUUAGUCGUGCCAUGGAGUUUCUCCCUAUAAUGUCUUCCCUUAUUCCUUAUGUGAUGGUUAUUUGGGUGUAACCUUUGAGGAAGUUUUAAUGUUGCAAGGGUUGAGGGAGAGAGAAUGUUGGUUGUGAUGCCAACUAUGACUUGGUGACUUAGUAGGUGUGAGGUGAAAGAUUAUGGUGAUGACUUUAGGAUGAAUGGGAUUCCUUUGGUUAUGCGUGUUGUUGGUAGUAUCCGGCUUAGUCAUAAGGAAGUCUUGUGAUGUGUUGAAGGAAUUUGAGAAAUGUGUGGUGAUUUAGAAAUGCUAGGUGUAAUGAGUAUAAAAGCCUAGUGUUGUUUUGAUCCGACCUUAGGAUGGAAGGUGGUGAAUUUGAAAGAACUAGUAAGAGUUUCUCCUAAGUGGGGGAAAUAUGUGGUUAGAUGAUAAGGUCUUUAAGUGUGGUUGAUGUUUAUGAGUUAGGCUUGAAGGAUGUUUUCAUUACAAGAGGUUUAGUGAAUUAAAGAGUUGGAUAAAAAUGGUUUUGGUAAGAUUGAUGGUAUGUUGAGUAGUGAAGUUGUUGAGAAGUGCUGAUAUCUUUACCUACUUUUAGAUGUGCUUACUCAAGCUUAAAACAAAGAAUUCCUAGAAGCUUGUGUUAUGUUUUGGAGUCUUAUGUGAAAAAGAGUUUUCCAUGGUUUCCUUAUGUCAUGCAUGUUUUAUAUGAAUUCUUGUUAAAUGAGAAAAUGAGUUUUCAUAAAUUUAUGUUCCUCAUGUUGAUGUGCAUCUAUAAUGAUUUGCCUAAAUGUUGCAUGAGUUAAAUUAUGAGCAUGUUUAAAAGUGUUUUGAUGAUGUUGCCUAAAGUGCUUCUAUGAGAAAGUUGCAUAAUGUUCAAUUAACAUAAGUUGUCUAUUUGCUUUAUGAGCUGAUAAUGUGAGCAUGCUUACUUGAGUUUUGGAGAAGGUUGCAUGAUGUGCUUUAAUGAGAAAAUUGCAUAUUGUGUCCUUUGAUGUUAUGAUGAGCAUGAGAUGAUUUGGAGAAGGAAGUACCUCCAAUGAAAUGAAAUGAAAUGAGAAAUGAGAAAUGAGAAAAGGUAAAGAUGAUGCAUAAGGAGUUAGUAGAUGUUGUGCCUACUUUCUUGAAUUGCAUGAAGUUGUGUGGGACUUUCUAUGUGGAGUUGAUGUUUCCUCCUAUAUUUAUGCAUUUGUAUUGAUGUUAUGUUGUAAAUGAAAUGUCCUUAUCAAAGGUAAUCUUGGGGAACACUUAAGUGUGCUUGAAGAGGUUGUAUGGGCGGUCACUUCUUGUCUCACUCAAGUGUGUCUUAAGGUUAUAUUAGGUAGAGGUCCUAUGGUAAUGAAAUGACAUGUGUUCUUUUAAAGUUAAGCAUGGAUUGUAUAUGGACAUAUGUUGAGUAUAUGUAUGGUUGGCUAUGGUCUUAUAUGUUAAUGUUGACUUGUAUUAUGUCUCUUAUACUUGUAAAGGAAAGGUUUUAUCAAAUUGAUAUGAAAGCAUUUAUUCUUUGAAAAUGUCCUUUUUAGCAUGUUUGUGCAUGGUAUGAAGUGGGUUUUAUGAUAAUGCUUGGGUAUUGAUGGAAUUGUACUUAGAUUGAAUUGUAUUAUUGAUUCCUAUUGUUAUCUAUAUCUAUUGUUGGUGGAUUGUUGGUGUAUGGAUGAGUUGAGAAUUAUGGCCUUGUAGGCAAGUCAUGGGUAAAUUCUCUUGUGAUGUUAGAAUUGUUGAGAAUUGGAUAAUGGUGAUUAUGGCUUUGGAGAAUGGUAAGUUGACCUACUUUCAUGCUAUAUUGAAAUUGUUCUUGUUUGGAUUGAUCCACUUAUGGUGGAGGUGUGUACUUAUUGAAUGUGUAUUGAUUAUGGCCUUGAAGGCAUUAUAUGAGUGUUAUUGUAUUGUUAUAUUAUUAUAUAUGAAUGAGGCUAUAUGUAAAGUCCUAUAUGAAGCUAUAUGUGAAGGUAUGAUGUGAAUAAGUUUUAUGUGAAGCUAUAUGUGAAGGAAUGAUGUGAAUGAGUUUUAUGUGAAGCUAUAUGUGAAGGAAUGAUGUGAAUGAGUUUUAUGUGAAGCUAUAUGUGAAGGAAUGAUGUGAAUGAGUUUUAUGUGAAGCUAUAUGUGAAGGAAUGAUGUGAAUGAGUUUUAUGUGAAGCUAUAUGUGAAGGAAUGAUGUGAAUGAGUUUUAUGUGAAGCUAUAUGUGAAGGAAUGAUGUGAAUGAGUUUUAUGUGAAGCUAUAUGUGAAGGAAUGAUGUGAAUGAGUUUUAUGUGAAGCUAUAUGUGAAGGAAUGAUGUGAAUGAGUUUUAUGUGAAGCUAUAUGUGAAGGAAUGAUGUGAAUGAGUUUUAUGUGAAGCUAUAUGUGAAGGAAUGAUGUGAAUGAGUUUUAUGUGAAGCUAUAUGUGAAGGAAUGAUGUGAAUGAGUUUUAUGUGAAGCUAUAUGUGAAGGAAUGAUGUGAAUGAGUUUUAUGUGAAGCUAUAUGUGAAGGAAUGAUGUGAAUGAGUUUUAUGUGAAGCUAUAUGUGAAGGAAUGAUGUGAAUGAGUUUUAUGUGAAGCUAUAUGUGAAGGAAUGAUGUGAAUGAGUUUUAUGUGAAGCUAUAUGUGAAGGAAUGAUGUGAAUGAGUUUUAUGUGAAGCUAUAUGUGAAGGAAUGAUGUGAAUGAGUUUUAUGUGAAGCUAUAUGUGAAGGAAUGAUGUGAAUGAGUUUUAUGUGAAGCUAUAUGUGAAGGAAUGAUGUGAAUGAGUUUUAUGUGAAGCUAUAUGUGAAGGUAUGAUGUGAAUGAGUUUAUGUGAUCUUGUGAUGAUCCUAUGUAAAGUGGAUAGCAUUGUGAGUUAAAGUAUGAUUUCUCAUGAUGUAUAUAUGAAAUGAUGUUGGAUUAUGAAGUAUCCUUAAAUGAAAAUGUUGUGACUUGGUUGGUAGACUAAAGUGUCCCUCCUUGUUACUUAAAGUCUUGAAUGCAUGAAUGUGUGAAAUGGGCAAAACUAAGAAAUGGUGCCCUUUCAUAAGUCUAGCUUUCCUAAGUAAAUGUAAAACCAUGAAAUCGGUAGACCUAAUGGUGGUAGCCCUUCUCAUGUGUGAAAUGAUGAACCUUGGACCGGUAGGCUUAAGGCACCCUUUAAUGAAGAAUCGGUAGGCCUAAGGCACCCUUCCAGGGGGAUUUAAUGAGCUAUCCUUAUGAACCUUGAUUGGCCAUGACUAAGAAAUGGGGCCUUUCUUGGGAAGAGGUACUAUGAGUUGGUUGAACUAGAAAAGGAACCUUCUCUAAGUACAUAUGUGAUUGAAUACUCUAUGGGAAACAAGGCUAGCACCGAGUGGAUGUGGUUAGGAAGGUGGCCUAGUUGAGUAUGAGAUUAGGCACAAUGAACUUCCUUGGACAUCCCCUAAACCAUGUGCCUACAUGGGUUGCUUACUAGUUCUACCUUUGGCAAGUAGAACAACCUCCACGGAGUAGGAUAGACUCCGGAUUCCAUACCUAGCUAGUAUGGUCUAUGUCGGUUAUGCCUAUUCCCAUCAUGUGGGAUGUGCACUCUAGUUAUUGGAUAGGUUCUACAACGUGUAGGUAGUAGUAUGGGAUGCUAUCUACACAUGGCACGAGUAGGCUUUGAAGAUACUAAAGUGAGUUCCCUAAGUCUAACGACUAUUAUGUGAAAGUCCCCUUAUGUGCUUGAAUGUCUCCAAAAAUGGUUUCUUAAAGAAUGUUGGUCUAUUGAUGUUAUGUUGUAAAGGAAAUGUCCUUAUCUAAGGUAAUCUUGAGGAACACUUAAGUGUGCUUGAAGAGGUUGUAUGGGCGGUCCCUUCUUGUCUCACUCAAG
RNAcentral lists this long non-coding RNA (4978 nucleotides) under Solanum tuberosum (potato). RNAcentral's name for it is "long non-coding RNA (STUB_LNC006133)". Lineage: Eukaryota; Viridiplantae; Streptophyta; Magnoliopsida; Solanales; Solanaceae. The record is from RNAcentral.